CACACCCAGAGUUGUAAAGCAUAGCCCCAAUAGCUAACUUCUCUGAUUGGUUCCAUGCCAUGAUGUGGGCAUCUGACCUCCUAGUGACCAAAGCAAGGUCAGGCAAGCACGUGUUAGCCUGUCAUGGUUGCCAAAAUGGGGGGGUCCCUUUGAUGCCUUUAAUCCCUGCACUAGGGAGAUGGAGACAGGAGGAUAUGGCUGGAUGGAAAAAAGAAUAUAAGGAGGAGGAGACAGGAAUUAAGAAACUUUUGCCUCUGAAGAUUCGUGGAGACAGGGUUGCCAUUUCAGCUGGGUAGAGGUGCUGGGAUUCUACUCAGGUCCUUACACUUGCACAGCAAGCACUCUACCGACAGAACCCUUAUUCUCUCCAGGAGGUUUAAAAUGAACCAACUUACGGCAACUCAGAACUUUCUGCUUGCUGUGGGAUCCAGGACUAUCCUCUGAGUUCAGAGAUGGUGACUCCAGGAAUAUCAUCUAUUAAGCGGUGAAUUAUCAAUACGUAACCAGACUAAGUUAAAUCAUCAUGUGGCCUCCAGAUAAAUGAAGAGAGACAAGAGCCAAAGUCCAGCUCCAGCUGGCAUCCAGAAAAGGACUCUGACACAGGAAGAGCUUUGUCUAAGCCCCUUAGACCCAGGCCAAGAGAAAAUUUAUAGCUGUGCUCUGUGGUGGCAAGUCACCUCUGUUCACUUCCAUGUGCCU
RNAcentral lists this long non-coding RNA (699 nucleotides) under Cricetulus griseus (Chinese hamster). Its description in RNAcentral is "lncRNA (ENSCGRG00015037605.1)". Lineage: Eukaryota; Metazoa; Chordata; Mammalia; Rodentia; Cricetidae. The record is from RNAcentral.